This 587-nucleotide ribosomal RNA is filed under the name uncultured bacterium. RNAcentral's name for it is "bacterial SSU rRNA". It matches the Rfam family "Bacterial small subunit ribosomal RNA", at positions 338 to 916 of the family's 1533-position model. The record is from RNAcentral.
CCUACGGGAGGCAGCAGUGGGGAAUUUUGGACAAUGGGGGCAACCCUGAUCCAGCCAUGCCGCGUGUGUGAAGAAGGCCUUCGGGUUGUAAAGCACUUUCGGACGGAACGAAAUCGCGCGGGUGAACAAUCCGCGUGGAUGACGGUACCGUAGGAAGAAGCACCGGCUAACUACGUGCCAGCAGCCGCGGUAAUACGUAGGGUGCGAGCGUUAAUCGGAAUUACUGGGCGUAAAGCGUGCGCAGGCGGCGCCGCAAGUCAGGCGUGAAAUCCCCGAGCUUAACUUGGGAAUGGCGCUUGAAACUACAGUGCUGGAGUGUGGCAGAGGGAGGUGGAAUUCCACGUGUAGCGGUGAAAUGCGUAGAGAUGUGGAGGAACACCGAUGGCGAAGGCAGCCUCCUGGGCCAACACUGACGCUCAUGCACGAAAGCGUGGGGAGCAAACAGGAUUAGAUACCCUGGUAGUCCACGCCCUAAACGAUGAUGACUAGUUGUUGGGGGAGUUAAAUCCCUUAGUAACGCAGCUAACGCGUGAAGUCAUCCGCCUGGGGAGUACGGUCGCAAGAUUAAAACUCAAAGGAAUUGACGG